RNAcentral lists this ribosomal RNA (507 nucleotides) under uncultured Candidatus Poseidoniales archaeon. RNAcentral's name for it is "bacterial SSU rRNA". It matches the Rfam family "Archaeal small subunit ribosomal RNA", at positions 413 to 926 of the family's 1478-position model. The record is from RNAcentral. Lineage: Archaea; Methanobacteriati; Thermoplasmatota; Candidatus Poseidoniia; Candidatus Poseidoniales.
UAAACUUUAAUCCGUUGCAAAAAGGGGUGGAAGUCCGGUGUCAGCCGCCGCGGUAAAACCAGCACCUCAAGUGGUCGUCGUUUAUUGGGCCUAAAAGCUCCGUAGCCUGUUUGGUACAUUCUUGGGUAAAUCAAGUCGCUCAACGGCUUGAGUUCUGCGAAGACGGCCAGACUAGGGACCGGGAGAGGUAUGGCGGUACUCUCUGGGUAGGGGUAAAAUCCAGUCAUCCUGAGGGGACCACCUGUUGCGAAGGCGCUAUACUAGAACGGAUCCGACGGUCAGGGACGAAGCCUAGGGGCACGAACCGGAUUAGAUACCCGGGUAGUCCUAGGUGUAAACGCUGUGGACUUGGUGUUGCGGAUUCUACGAGUAUGCCCAGUGCCGGAGUGAAGAUGUUAAGUCCACUGCCUGGGGAGUACGGUCGCAAGGCUGAAACUUAAAGGAAUUGGCGGGGGAGCACAGCAACGAGAGGAGCGUGCGGUUCAAUUGGAGUCAACGCCGGGAAUC